UACGUAGGGGGCGAGCGUUGUCCGGAUUUAUUGGGCGUAAAGAGCGUGUAGGCGGCCAGGUAGGUCGGUUGUGAAAACUGGAGGCUUAACCUUCAGACGUCGACCGAAACCAUCUGGCUAGAGUCCGGAAGAGGAGAGUGGAAUUCCUGGUGUAGCGGUGAAAUGCGCAGAUAUCUGGAGGAAUACCGGUGGCGAAGGCGGCAUCCUGGACCGGCAUUGACGCUGAGGAGCGAAAGCCAGGGGAGCAAACGGG
RNAcentral lists this ribosomal RNA (253 nucleotides) under uncultured bacterium. Its description in RNAcentral is "partial 16S ribosomal RNA". It matches the Rfam family "Bacterial small subunit ribosomal RNA", at positions 524 to 776 of the family's 1533-position model. The record is from RNAcentral.